This 4566-nucleotide long non-coding RNA is filed under the name Podarcis lilfordi (Lilford's wall lizard). Lineage: Eukaryota; Metazoa; Chordata; Lepidosauria; Squamata; Lacertidae. The record is from RNAcentral.
GCCAGGAGUACUUUUGCAGAGCUUAGGCAAGGGCACCAAUUAUGCACAUUGCUGGAGAAGGUGAACUUUGCCAUAGUCAUGCAUGCCUUAGUUGCAUCAAGGUCGAAUCUCAGUUAUGUAGCAUCUUUCCCAAAGAUGCUCACCCAGCACCAGUUCUACUAACUUUUUGUGCCAGCUUAAAAAACUGUUAUUCGCGGAUAUUUUUAAGACCUCUUCUCCACCACUUUAUUAAUAGCUGAUUAAGCUGUCAUAUUUUAAAUAUUGUGUUGCUAGCAAAUUUUCUUCUUUUGUGUUUUAUGAUUUUUUAAAAAUUGCAUUGUAUAGUUUUAUAAAUGUGUUUAUUAUAGUUAUCAUAUCUAAAAUUGUGCUGUAAACCUCCCUAGCAUAAGAUUGUAUGAAAGGCAUAACACCCUAAAUAAUGAUAAUGAUGAUAACUAUUGUUGUUAUUAUUAAUAAAAUUUAUAUCCUGUCCUUACUCCCAAAGCCCAGAGCAGCAAACACACAGGUGACAAAACAUCUAAAAACAUAUAUUUAAAGAUAUCCAGUACAGAUCUGGGAAAGACCUCUACUUAAAGGUGUGCUGAAAGAGGACAGUCUUCUGGAGGUGCCAAAAAAGACAACAGAGAUAUGUAGUGGGAAGCAAUUCCAGACAGAUCUUCUGGUAUGAUGUUCUCUGCUGAAGACUCUUACCUGCAGAGCACACUGGUUGACUAGGUGUAUAAGGGGUGAGAUGACCUUUCAGACAUCCUGGUCCCAAGCUGUAAAGGGCAUUUUGAUUACUGUCUUCCCACAGAUCUCUAAAAGCUCUCCUGAAGGAAGCAUUAGACUAGCAGAAGUGUGUUGCAGAAGAACAUGGGAAAGGUGUUACAUUAGCCAGGUUUGCAAAGUGCCAGGCAUACUGCACUUACAGGAAGCCUCAUUGAUGCAAAAUAGAUAAGUUUGGCCUGGAUAAGGCUGGGCUUUGUCUGCAGAAAUGCAGCUUCUUCCAGGAAAGCUCUUUAAUGCUUCAGUUCAGUGAUAUUGCAAAGCACAUUUUAUGAGCUGCCACCUGCCCUGUUCAGGUUCUUCACUCCUGCUUUAUAGUGUGUGUCGCUUAAAACUGGGUGCUGAAUCUUCCUCUCUGCAUAGAGACAUUUCUCUAGCUUUUACCAUAUAACAGCGACCUUAUUUUAGUAGCUGCAGAUAUGCAGAAAAUAACUUCUGCUUUGCCAACUAAGAAACAUGAUGGGCUUUCAUUGAAUGUGUUUGAAAUGUCUGAUAAGCAAUUCAUGGAUCUUGCAUGACAUUUUUUGUUUGUUUAACCUUGCAUAACUAUUGACAAUGCCAUCUUUUUGUUGUAGUCUAUGGCCAAUGAAUUUGGGUUACAAAAUAUUAUUAUUUAAUUGUGCAGAUGAAUUGGAACUGUCAUAGAAGGUUUCCAUGCGUUUUUCAAGCACUGCAGUAUGUCUUUGUGGGCUUGUGGAGGGAAAGACACUUUUGGUUUCUGUGUUUUAAAAUUUGGAGCUGACUGGGAUGUAUGUUGCAAAUUGAUGCACUUUUAAUUAACACUAACUACAAGCUUUGUUUUUGAUGGAAAAACAGACCUAAUAAUUUGCUUGAGGCUCCUGAAAGACUUUAAAAAGAGGCUGGCACUAAGUAAUUAAAUAUAAAUGCCAGAGCAAUACACCAUGGGGACAUAUUGGUUAAUAUCCAAUUGUGCUAUCCCACAUGUGCAACACACCACUUGUACCGAUCGGACUUACCCUCCUUCCCCCCUCUGCAAUCCCUGCAUACCCCUCAGAAUCUGCUCCAUGUGGUGCAGGGGGGAAGGGAUGGGGAAAAUUCCAUUAUAUCCACUGGUACAACAUUGGAUCUUGACCAUUGUUCCUUAUACAAUAAAAUUGUUUCCUGUAGAUAGGAGGGUUCAUGCUAUCUUGGACUUGGUCACUUAAAAGCCAGUUAUGACAUGUGCAUGAAGUGCUCUGCACGAAAACAUGAGCAAUGUCUUUUAACCCUCUUGUUUAAGAAGACAUUGCAUAUUACUGGUGCUGCUACUACUACAAUUUAUUACAUGUCCUUCACUCUAAGGGCAGGUUGCCACAGUUAAAACACAGCAUUAAGCCACUAUAAAAACGAUUCACACUACCACUUCCCCCCCACUCCAUGGGUGUUUCAGAAUUGCCUGGUGGGGCAGAUUUAUUUAGAAUGUAAGAGUAACCUGCUGGAUGAUAAGGCCAGUGGCCCAUCUAGUCCGUAAACCUGUUAUUGCAGGAUAACCAGCUUCUUAUGGGAAAGCAGAACAUGAGCACAACAGCACUCUUGCCAUUUGUGAUUCCCAGCAACUGGUGUUCAGGGUCAUAUUGCCUCAGACAGUGGAGGCAGAGCACAGCCACCACCAGUAGUAGCCAUUGAUAACCUUAUCCUCCAUGAACUUGUCUAAUCUUCUCUUAAAACCAUCCAAGGUGGUGGUCUUCACUACCUGGGAGCUUUCCUGUGGUGUCCCGAAGGAUUUCAUCUUGUCCCCCUGCUACUUAACAUCUAUAUGAAACCUCUGGCAGCUGCCAUCAGGAGUUUAGGAGUGAAUGGACACCAAUAUGUGGACGACACCCAGGUUUACCUCUUCAUGCCAUCUGAAUCAGAAGAGGUGACUGAGUUGCCACAUGUUUGGAGGCAAUGAUUGGGCUGGAGGUGGACUGAAAAACUGAAACUGGAUGGGGGGGGGAGUGUUAUGAGAUCCAAGUUCUCAAGCAGAGCAAGUGGGGAGAUGGCCUGUUCUGGAUGGGGUUGCUGAUUUGUGAAACACUCCAUAGUUACUCUUCAUGACAUGCUGUCUCUUUUUUCUGUCAUUCUCAUUGCCCUGGUUUGCAUCUUUUCUAUUUUUAAUUCAUCCUUCUUGAGCAUGGGGACCCCAACUGGGCAUGGUAUCCCAGCACUAAUAUCUUAACUUGCUGUAGUUGCCAACUUAUUUAGCUGCUAUACAAAAGAACAGGAAAAAAAACCAUUUGAUGCAUCUAGAACUUGUCUAAAUAUCAGAAGGGUCGCAUUGCUCUCUGUGUGUGUCCUGUUCAUAUGAACCAUACAAAGGUGUGUACUUCAGUUUUGGUGUUCCGUUCUUGGUUUAGAUGUCACAUUUCAAGGUCAUUUUUGCCUUCCGGCUCAGACAUUAUUAAAAACCACUCAGAUAUAAAUAAGCGACACGGAGCCAGGAUUUUCCUGGUUCAUCUAACAAUGUGCCCUACUUCCACCUUUCACCAGCAGCUGUCCUUUCCUUUUUUAAUUAAAAUUCUCUCCCCCUCCUUGCAUAUUUCAUUUCAUUGGCAUACCACAGGGCUGUAGUUUCAGGGUUUGUAAAGGAAAAGAAUGUUAUUCACUGAUGCUUAGUGAAUCCCAGUAGCCUUUGUGAACUGUUGUCAAGGUCUGAUAUACUCUGUAAAGUGUUUUUUCUCUGUCCUUUUUUGCAUUCUGAAACUUUCAAGCUGCUGUAAAGAUCAGGGGGAUAGCUAGUGAAAUCUCCUAGAAGUUAAAUGUAACAUUCAAGGAUUUAAAUGGGUCUUUGUGGAUUGCUCUUACUGUAUGAAGCAAAAUGAAUACUAAGGUCUUUGCUGCCAAUGUGUUAGCCUACUGCUGUGCUUUUUUAAGGACUGCUUUCAUCAAUUGUUAAGGAGCAUAUUCUCUGUUGGUUUGAAUCAAUGCAGCACCAGUGUCGUCAGAAAUCUUUAUUGUGUCUUAAAAUCUAGCAUAAUGAAGAGCUGGAUCAUUUUAGCAGAAACUGUUUUGUUAAAAACACUUGUGGUAAAAUAGUAUCUCUGUGACCUUCCAUAGGUGAUGCACAAUGCAAAAUUAUUAAUGCAAUAGAAACCAUAAAUUUGUGUUAGUAAGUGUUGUAUUCAGGUUGUACACUCUUUAGGAGUGGAAUUUGGACUUGCCACUUUUCUACUACUUUGGAAAGGCAGGAUUUAUUGGCUCUGUGCAGAUGCAGUGCUUCUUGACCAUGGUUAAGAAAUUGUGAGCAUUGCUCAGCCUUUCUCAUUCUUUCUCUGCUUCCUUUUUCUCAUUCCUCUUCUUUUUUCCCUCCCUUCCCCAUUCAGUUUUAAACUAUGGAUAGCAUUUGGUCUGCAUUGGGUUGAACAUUAGUUAUGAUUAGCAUUAAAACAUCAUUUGAAACCUGCUUUUAACUUUGGUUCACACUGUGGUUGCUGUUGAACAUGGUUCCAGCCAUAGCGUUGAGCAUGACACCAAUGUAAUGCUCUGCAUAUAUAACGGCAAAGGUGGGUUGAGUUCAGAAUAGGGGUUAAACUGUGACUUGAGCCCAUACUCCAAUGUACUAGUGUGGAAAACAAAAGUAGAACUCAGGUUAGAAUAAUGUUGCAAGUUUUAAUUAAUUAUAACUAAUAUAAAAUAGGCUAAAGCUCAGUUUCCUUACAUAUAGAAAUGAGAGAGGGUGGAAGGAAGAACAUGCAAGCCUGAGGAGUGCUCUUGACCUCUUAAUGGCAGAUAAAUAUUAGGAAAUAGCAGCUCUGCCUUGAUCCAUUGGGAUUUGCAAAAUUGAUGAAGAAAAGUUCCAUGUCAGAUUUUAAGACUUUGAUU